GACGAACGCUGGCGGCGUGCUUAACACAUGCAAGUCGAACGAUGAUGCUCCAGCUUUGUUGGGGUGGAUUAGUGGCGAACGGGUGAGUAACACGUGAGUAACCUGCCCUCUUCUUUGGGAUAACGGUCGGAAACGGCUGCUAAUACUGGAUAUUCACUCAUUGGCGCAUGUUGGUGGGUGGAAAGGUUUUUUCUGGUGGGGGAUGGGCUCGCGGCCUAUCAGCUUGUUGGUGGGGUGAUGGCCUACCAAGGCUUUGACGGGUAACCGGCCUGAGAGGGUGACCGGUCACAUUGGGACUGAGAUACGGCCCAGACUCCUACGGGAGGCAGCAGUGGGGAAUUUUGCACAAUGGGCGCAAGCCUGAUGCAGCGACGCCGCGUGAGGGAUGAAGGCCUUCGGGUUGUAAACCUUUUUCGCUCAUGGUCAAGCCGCAGCUUUGGGUUGUGGUGAGGGUAGUGGGUAAAGAAGCGCCGGCUAACUACGUGCCAGCAGCCGCGGUGAUACGUAGGGCGCGAGCGUUGUCCGGAAUUAUUGGGCGUAAAGGGCUUGUAGGCGGUUGGCCGCGUCUGCCGUGAAAUCCUCUGGCUUAACUGGGGGCGUGCGGUGGGUACGGGUUGACUUGAGUGCGGUAGGGGAGACUGGAAUUCCUGGUGUAGCGGUGGAAUGCGCAGAUAUCAGGAGGAACACCGGUGGCGAAGGCGGGUCUCUGGGCCGUUACUGACGCUGAGGAGCGAAAGCGUGGGGAGCGAACAGG
This 754-nucleotide ribosomal RNA is filed under the name uncultured Actinomyces sp. Its description in RNAcentral is "bacterial SSU rRNA". It matches the Rfam family "Bacterial small subunit ribosomal RNA", at positions 28 to 776 of the family's 1533-position model. Lineage: Bacteria; Bacillati; Actinomycetota; Actinomycetes; Actinomycetales; Actinomycetaceae. The record is from RNAcentral.